AUGAUUGAUGAGAAUAACGAUGUCAGUGAGGAGGCCUUGAGCGCUGAAACUGAAGGAGAAGCAUGACAUGCUGGACAAGGAGAUCUCCCAGUUAAUAGCAGAGGGCUACCGUGUGAUUGAGCUGGAGAAGCAUAUCUCCCUCCUCCAUGAGUACAAUGACAUCAAGGAUGUAUCACAGAUGCUGCUGGGGAAACUGGCUGUGACUCGAGGCGUUACCACCAAGGAGUUAUAUCCAGAUUUUGAUCUAAACCUGAAUGACUGAGCAGCUUCUUGGAGAUUUUCAUCUACAGCCCACAGGGACAGGAGGAUGGGGGCAUAAAAGGCAGAGUCUACACAGCAUAUUCAUAUGGUUUUCAGAUUUUAAAAGAUGCUAGAAGCCCUCCAAAGUUUGGGGUGGGUUCUAGAGAAGAGGAGUAUUGGGAGGGGUGGGUAUUGUCAAUGUUAAGUUCCUAAACAUACUUGUGAGUAGGUGUGUGUGGUUGUUCCUUUUGUUAAUAAACAUAUGAGCAGUCAAAAAAAAAAAAAA
This is a non-coding RNA of Mus caroli (Ryukyu mouse), 526 nucleotides long. Lineage: Eukaryota; Metazoa; Chordata; Mammalia; Rodentia; Muridae. The record is from RefSeq and is a predicted model, not a curated record.